RNAcentral lists this ribosomal RNA (468 nucleotides) under uncultured bacterium. RNAcentral describes it as "partial 16S ribosomal RNA". It matches the Rfam family "Bacterial small subunit ribosomal RNA", at positions 28 to 507 of the family's 1533-position model. The record is from RNAcentral.
GACGAACGCUGGCGGCGUGCUUAACCCAUGCAAGUCGAACGGAAAGGCCCUGCUUUUGUGGGGUGCUCGAUUGGCGAACGGGUGAGUAACACGUGAGUAACCUGCCCUUGACUUUGGUAUAACUUCAGGAAACUGGGGCUAAUACCGGAUAGGAGCUCCUGCUGCAUUGUGGGGGUUGGAAAGUUUCGGCGGUUGGGGAUGGACUCGCGGCUUAUCAGCUUGUUGGUGGGGUAGUGGCUUACCAAGGCUUUGACGGGUAGCCGGCCUGAGAGGGUGACCGGCCACAUUGGGACUGAGAUACGGCCCAGACUCCUACGGGAGGCAGCAGUGGGGAAUAUUGCACAAUGGGCGGAAGCCUGAUGCAGCAACGCCGCGUGCGGGAUGACGGCCUUCGGGUUGUAAACCGCUUUCGCCUGUGACGAAGCGUGAGUGACGGUAAUGGGUAAAGAAGCACCGGCUAACUACGUG